AGCUCGCUAACCCAAGACACGAUGAUCUGUCGGCAUCUGUUCAUUUCAUUACCACACAUUUCGUACUUACACGAAUUACUUACUUGGCGAAACAGGAGAGUCUUACACGGGAGAUGCUCUAAAACGCGACUUUUUUUUCUCCCAUAUUCCAGAUUUACGAGUUUCUUUUACGUCUUCAUCACCAAUUUCUUUGUCGUGACACACACACACACAGACAGACACACACUACUCUCUCUGAGCUUUGUUUUUACUAUCGGUUUCCGAUUUUAACACAAGAAAAACACCCUGUUCUGUUGUGGCGAUCAGAGUUGAUUUAUGAAAAAGCAGUUCUUUUAAAUUCUUAAAAUUAGUUUUCUUACGUGUUCAACAUAACUGGGUGUAUUUCACAAAGCCUCUCUGGCACUCAAAAUGGCUGACGGGCGCGAGCUCGGACGCCGCUGUAACACGAGCCGCUAACCCAUUCGCUGCCGCGCGCCACUGAGACCAGAGCCCAGGUUAAGAUCAGAUUACUUUUAGCACUCACAAUAGUCCCAUAGUGAAAGACAUGAUUUGUGCUUUUUGUCUACUUUCAUCCCCAGAGAUGUUUUUAAAAAAAUAAUCGUGGACGCUACAGUGACAUUCACCGUUACCAGUAGAGUAGUGAGGACUAACUAGAAGAAUUUAAAAACACACGAAUAUUUGUUAUAUCUUUCUUAUACUCAGCGGUGACUAAAAUGAAUUAAUGAUCGAAAAUGUAGCACACAGGGCAUGCACUUUACAAAUGUGGCCUUCUGGACUUAUACAAAAUAUAUACAGUACGUGUGUGUCUAUACUGUUAUUUUUUGAGGAAGUAGAUAGGAACGUUCAUUCCUGAUCUUCAUCUUACAAAGAAGAGAGGGGGCAGGUGGGUGUGUCGAGCAAAGCUCGUGUCUGGAAGCUGUAACUAUCUUGUUGCAGACAAACCCAAGGUGUACCAGGGUGUGCGAGUGAAGGCGCCCGUUAAAGAGCUACUACAGAAGCAGAGGGCCCGCCAGGCUGCCAUUAAAAACGCAACGAUAUCACAGAGCUUUACGAUUCCAGACGUUUGUUCCACCCUGGCUGUAACGGCCCAUCACUUUGACGUGUGUUCGGCGAGCCCGGUGGCGGACGCCGCUCCGCUGCCACCUCCUUAUAGCGACAUCAUCCCCAUGGAGACGAGUCCGUUUGACAGCCCGCAGCCGAUGAACGUGAUGCUGCCUACAGACAGCUUCACCAGCGUUCUGCCUCCGGAUUCCUCCACUCAGCACUGGUCCCAGGGACAUUAUAUAUCCAAUUCUGACUAUUACUACAAUGCCAUGGUAGGAGUCCCGGCAUUUUUGUCAUUUUGCUGUUCUUAUCCCUUCUCUUUUUUUUCAGUUAGUGACAACACACACAGGUCACAGGGUGUCAGGAAAUCCUGGAUUUUCCAGCAGCUGUUUAGUAAAACACGUAGAUCCAUCUGACUUUAUUCACUUUUUUUCUGACAACCGACGCAGUGAGCGUUUCACGCUCUUUUUGUCUGUCCAUCCAAACUGAGACAAACACUGACCCAAGAAGUAGCUCGUUUUCGGUGUUCGCUAUGCGGAGCCCUCGCUGCGCACACGGAAUACAUAUGAUAAUGAUAUGGCACGGUCGCAUCAGCUGAGCUGGCUGCGAACGCUCAUGGUGUCGUCGUUCCGCGCUCGUGAUCCCGCACCCACUGACGCGUGUGUGUUGUGUUGUGUGUCUGUGCGCUGCAGGCUCCCAGUUCGUCCCCCGACUCCCUGUCGCUGAGCCUCUCGAGCCCAGUCGAUUACAACAGCUACUCGCCCCACGACAGCUACUCUUCCUCCUCCUCCUCGUGCUACAGCUCUCCCACAAGACUAGACUCGGCUUUCGGCUUUGCGCAGGAGAACUACCACUUCCAGCACUGCAACCUGCAACACUGCCACUCCGGCACCCUGUCCAGCUGGACUGGCCCCCAGGACGCCGGCGCCUCGAACCCAGAGUACGCGCCCUACUACCAGUCGGACUGUUUGUACACACCCGUGGAGCAGAACUACUUCAGGAGGGAUGUGAGCAGCGCGGACAUGUGCUACCUUUAAAACUCUUUUCCCUAACUAACAUGAUCAUGAUGAUCGCUUCCCGCCCUGCCUGCAAACGGUUUUGUAUUCGCAGUUAUUUCGUUCGUCGUGUAACCAAUUUUUACCCGUCUCUUACGUUUUGCCGCUGUUUGUUUUGAUUUAUCUUUCUGGGAGCGUCCUGACUCAGACUGUCCCAAGGUUGGGUCCACCGAUGAACAAUCGAAUCACACCCACGCCAGGGUGGAGACGUCGUAGGCGAUAGAAUAACUAUAAGUAUGUCUCUGCGUUUGUGGACACGUUGCUGAACAAUGAAUGACGAAGUUAUACACGUUUGGUAUAAUUCCGUUUUUUUAUAAUAAAGAAUUCUGCCUUUAUUCUACA
Molecule: long non-coding RNA, 2441 nt
Filed under: Scleropages formosus (Asian bonytongue)
Lineage: Eukaryota; Metazoa; Chordata; Actinopteri; Osteoglossiformes; Osteoglossidae
Description: lncRNA (ENSSFOG00015024396.1)
Source: RNAcentral